RNAcentral lists this ribosomal RNA (253 nucleotides) under uncultured bacterium. RNAcentral's name for it is "partial 16S ribosomal RNA". It matches the Rfam family "Bacterial small subunit ribosomal RNA", at positions 524 to 776 of the family's 1533-position model. The record is from RNAcentral.
UACGUAGGGUGCGAGCGUUGUCCGGAAUUAUUGGGCGUAAAGAGCUCGUAGGCGGUUUGUUGCGUCGGCCGUGAAAACCUGCAGCUUAACUGUGGGCCUGCGGCCGAUACGGGCAGACUUGAGUUCGGUAGGGGAGACUGGAAUUCCUGGUGUAGCGGUGAAAUGCGCAGAUAUCAGGAGGAACACCGGUGGCGAAGGCAGCUCGCUGGGACGUGACUGACGCUGAGACGCGAAAGCGUGGGGAGCAAACAGG